Molecule: ribosomal RNA, 233 nt
Filed under: Proteus mirabilis
Lineage: Bacteria; Pseudomonadati; Pseudomonadota; Gammaproteobacteria; Enterobacterales; Morganellaceae
Description: partial 23S ribosomal RNA
Rfam family: Bacterial large subunit ribosomal RNA
Source: RNAcentral
UCGAGUCGGCCCGCGCGGAUGAUGUAACGGGGCUAAACCAUGCACCGCAGCUGCGGCAGCGACACAUAGUGUUGUUGGGUAGGGGAGCGUUCUUUAAGCCUGCGAAGGUGUACUGUGAGGUAUGCUGGAGGUAUCAGAAGUGCGAAUGCUGACAUAAGUAACGUUAAUGCGGGUGAAAAACCCGCACGCCGGAAGACCAAGGGUUCCUGUCCAACGUUAAUCGGGGCAGGGUG